AGCCAAAGCAAAAAAAAAAAAAAACAAGCAGACAGAUCAAGUGGCCGUAGGGAGCAUAGCAUCAGAUCUCCAAGGUGAAAAGGGUGUGACAUCACAGAGAUGCCUCAGAUGCAAAUUACCCAUUAAAACUUGUGUCUCCUCAUCUGCAUCAACAAGACGGCCACCGCAAAUAAUACUCAAACCAGCGUCGGAAAAUAGAAGCGAACACCGAGAUAUAAAAAGGAGGAAAGCUGAAACGAGGGAGGCAUGGGCGAGACCAAAUAUGUCCAAGCCGAAACCGCCGCCGUCGGACGUGAUGCUGAAGGAGGGAACGAGUGGGG
RNAcentral lists this unclassified non-coding RNA (320 nucleotides) under Zea mays. Its description in RNAcentral is "misc RNA Zm00001eb332800". The record is from RNAcentral. Lineage: Eukaryota; Viridiplantae; Streptophyta; Magnoliopsida; Poales; Poaceae.